RNAcentral lists this ribosomal RNA (201 nucleotides) under Leptogenys guianensis. Its description in RNAcentral is "partial large subunit ribosomal RNA". Lineage: Eukaryota; Metazoa; Arthropoda; Insecta; Hymenoptera; Formicidae. The record is from RNAcentral.
GAAUUUUAUAAUUUAUGUAUAAUAAAAUAAUAUUGUAAAUUAUUUAAUUGGGAGGAUUAAUAAAUUUGAGUAACUUUAUAAGGAUUAUGACAUUAAUAUAUGAAAUAGUAAAUUGAUUAGUAGAUAUAUAAUGAAGAAUUAAUUACCUUAGGGAUAACAGCAUAAGAUUUUUUUUUAGAUCAUAUAAAAAAUAAUUAUUGU